Molecule: ribosomal RNA, 253 nt
Filed under: uncultured bacterium
Lineage: Bacteria
Description: partial 16S ribosomal RNA
Rfam family: Bacterial small subunit ribosomal RNA
Source: RNAcentral
GACAGAGGGGGCAAGCGUUGCUCGGAAUUACUGGGCGUAAAGGGCGCGUAGGCGGGAUGGCAAGUCGGUCGUGAAAUCCCUCGGCUCAACCGAGGAACGUCGAUCGAUACUGCCGUGCUUGAGGACUGGAGAGGAGACUGGAAUUUACGGUGUAGCAGUGAAAUGCGUAGAGAUCGUAAGGAAGACCAGUGGCGAAGGCGGGUCUCUGGACAGUUCCUGACACUGAGGCACGAAGGCCAGGGGAGCAAACGGG